AGAGUAGGCGCAGGCGGUUGCAGAUCGGUUAUGAUAACUGGUUUGAGGAAAGUCCGGGCUCCCGAAAGACCAGACUUGCUGGAUAACGUCCAGUGCGAGCGAUCGUGAGGAUAGUGCCACAGAAAGAUACCGCCAGGACUGGGGAAUAGGGACUGGAGACUGGGGGACUGGGGAAGAAAUUUCCCAAUACCCGAUCCCCAAUUCUCAAUACCCGAUUCCUGGUAAGGGUGCAAAGGUGCGGUAAGAGCGCACCAGCAGUGUCGAGAGGCACUGGCUCGGUAAACCCCGGUUAGGAGCAAGGCGAAAGGAACUAUGGUUGGUCUUUUACCAGUUCCUACAAUAGAGCCGCUAGAGGCGGUUGGUAACAACCGUCCCAGAUAGAUAACUGCCCUCGCAAGAGAACAGAACCCGGCUUAUGUCCUACUCUCGAA
Molecule: RNase P RNA, 431 nt
Filed under: Nostoc minutum NIES-26
Lineage: Bacteria; Bacillati; Cyanobacteriota; Cyanophyceae; Nostocales; Nostocaceae
Description: Bacterial RNase P class A
Rfam family: Bacterial RNase P class A
About the family: Ribonuclease P (RNase P) is a ubiquitous endoribonuclease, found in archaea, bacteria and eukarya as well as chloroplasts and mitochondria. Its best characterised activity is the generation of mature 5'-ends of tRNAs by cleaving the 5'-leader elements of precursor-tRNAs.
Source: Rfam by way of RNAcentral